UAGUCCACGCCGUAAACGAUGAAUACUAGGUGUCGGGGGUCGAACCUCGGUGCCGCAGCUAACGCAUUAAGUAUUCCACCUGGGGAGUACGAUCGCAAGAUUGAAACUCAAAGGAAUUGACGGGGCCCGCACAAGCGGUGGAGCAUGUGGUUUAAUUCGAAGCAAUGCGAAGAACCUUACCAAAUCUUGACAUCCCGAUGACCGGCAUUUAAUUUUGCCUUUUCUUCGGAACAUCGGUGACAGGUGGUGCAUGGUUGUCGUCAGCUCGUGUCGUGAGAUGUUGGGUUAAGUCCCGCAACGAGCGCAACCCUUACUUUUAGUAGCCAGCAUGUAAUGAUGGGGACUCUAGAGGGACUGCCGGGGAUAACUCGGAGGAAGGUGGGGAUGACGUCAAAUCAUCAUGCCCCUUAUGAUUUGGGGCUACACACGUGCUACAAUGGGUGAUUACAAAGGGGAAGCGAAGCCGUGAGGGUGGAGCAAACCCCAAAAAGUCAUCCCAGUUCGGGAUUGUAGUCU
This 516-nucleotide ribosomal RNA is filed under the name uncultured bacterium. RNAcentral's name for it is "bacterial SSU rRNA". It matches the Rfam family "Bacterial small subunit ribosomal RNA", at positions 791 to 1306 of the family's 1533-position model. The record is from RNAcentral.